CCAUAUCAAUAAGCGGAGGAAAAGAAACUAACAAGGAUUCCCCUAGUAGCGGCGAGCGAAGCGGGAAGAGCUCAAAUUUAUAAUCUGGCACCUUCGGUGUCCGAGUUGUAAUCUCUAGAAGUGUUUUCCGCGUUGGACCGCACACAAGUCUGUUGGAAUACAGCGGCAUAGUGGUGAAACCCCCGUAUAUGGUGCGGACGCCCAGCGCUUUGUGAUACACUUUCAAUGAGUCGAGUUGUUUGGGAAUGCAGCUCAAAUUGGGUGGUAAAUUCCAUCUAAAGCUAAAUAUUGGCGAGAGACCGAUAGCGAACAAGUACCGUGAGGGAAAGAUGAAAAGCACUUUGGAAAGAGAGUUAACAGUACGUGAAAUUGUUGGAAGGGAAACGCUUGAAGUCAGACUUGCUUGCCGGAGCUUGCUUCGGUUUGCAGGCCAGCAUCAGUUUUCCGGGGUGGAUAAUAACGGUUUGAAGGUAGCAGUCUCGGCUGUGUUAUAGCUUUCCGUUGGAUACAUCCUGGGGGACUGAGGAACGCAGCGUGCUUUUUGCGAAAGACUCGUCUUUUUCACGCUUAGGAUGCUGGUGGAAUGGCUUUAAACGACCCGUCUUGAAACACGGACCAAGGAGUCUAACAUGCUCGCGAGUAUUUGGGUGUCAAACCCGGAUGCGCAAUGAAAGUGAAUGUAGGUGGGAACCGCAAGGUGCACCAUCGACCGAUCUGGAUUUUUUAAGAUGGAUUUGAGUAAGAGCGCGUAUGUUGGGACCCGAAAGAUGGUGAACUAUGCCUGAAUAGGGCGAAGCCAGAGGAAACUCUGGUGGAGGCUCGUAGCGGUUCUGACGUGCAAAUCGAUCGUCAAAUUUGGGUAUAGGGGCGAAAGACUAAUCGAACCAUCUAGUAGCUGGUUCCUGCCGAAGUU
This 913-nucleotide ribosomal RNA is filed under the name Rhodotorula glutinis. Its description in RNAcentral is "LSU rRNA". It matches the Rfam family "Eukaryotic large subunit ribosomal RNA", at positions 38 to 968 of the family's 3401-position model. The record is from RNAcentral. Lineage: Eukaryota; Fungi; Basidiomycota; Microbotryomycetes; Sporidiobolales; Sporidiobolaceae.